Canis lupus familiaris (dog) is the source of this 896-nucleotide long non-coding RNA. RefSeq lists it as uncharacterized. Lineage: Eukaryota; Metazoa; Chordata; Mammalia; Carnivora; Canidae. The transcript is spliced from 3 exons. The record is from RefSeq and is a predicted model, not a curated record.
GUGUGUAACAUUAGUCCCAAGGCUUGUGCUGACUUUAAGAUUUGUGAAACAGACUUUGGGACUUGAAUGAAGUCACAAAACAAGGCAAAUGUGGAAGACAAAGAUAGCUCAUAAACUAGCACUUUAUUUAUUUAAGAACAAGACAGAAUGAAGUUUACAGACACUGUCUUCUGGUCCUCCAAACCCCUGCUUCCUCCACAUCAUAUACACACCAGAUUCAGGAUGUGCAUCCAUUCUCAAGGAAAUGGAUAUAAAAUGAUUCCUGGAGAUCUAGCCAUUACAUCUAAUUUCCAGUGUAAAAUAGGAAGAAAUGGGGGAAAAGGCAUAAUUUUAAAACAUGCUUUCUAGAAACCCUACCAAUAACUUCUGGUUCUGUCUCUCUGGCCAGAGCUCCAAUGUGGCCAGCACUAUUUCUGUUUUCCCAAUAAAAUCUGUUAGAAAAAUUUUAAUUGAAAAAUGGGUACUGGAUAAACUAGCAGGCCCCAUCACUCCCUAACUGGGACACCCAGAACAUGUUGAAACCUCUUAGGUAUGGAGAACAUGCAUGGGAAUGGAAGUUGGAAGUUGUCAGCCAAGGAGCCUGAGGACUCUCCCCACAGAGAUUCAUGGAUUCAGCUUUUCUCUGACAUACAUAGAAAGAAAAGUGUGACUACCUUCCAGAAGUUACUGCUAAGAAGCUUUAUUACAUUUUUCUCCUCAAAUAGUUGGAGCUUCAAAAAACUUGCAGUGCAUUUUAUGUGCAUGUGUAUAAUGUACAUGGAUAUUUGUAUUAACAGAUUUCUAAUAUCUACUUCACCCAAACACUGAAGCCCACAUAAACAGCCCAUCUAAACUCCUUUCAUAGAGAUUUAUGAAUAUUUAAAAAAUACCUACCCAAGAGCAAAUUUAUUGAUUGA